UGUGAGAUGCGUUGAGGCCAUUACCAGGGUACUUAUAAGGUAAUGGCCCUAUUUACUGAACAAAAGCACCUGCUAGAUAAAAUCCUUCAGGCCAGUUGGACUAUCUCUAGACUGAAUAGGUAUAUGUCACAAUGGACUAACUCCAGCACUUCUAGUGUUUUUUGAUUUUGGAAUUUCAGCG
Xiphophorus couchianus (Monterrey platyfish) is the source of this 181-nucleotide long non-coding RNA. RefSeq lists it as uncharacterized. The transcript is spliced from 3 exons. NCBI's taxonomy places the organism in Eukaryota, Metazoa, Chordata, Actinopteri, Cyprinodontiformes, Poeciliidae. The record is from RefSeq and is a predicted model, not a curated record.